Molecule: ribosomal RNA, 382 nt
Filed under: uncultured bacterium
Lineage: Bacteria
Description: bacterial SSU rRNA
Rfam family: Bacterial small subunit ribosomal RNA
Source: RNAcentral
UAAGACAGAGGAGCCAAGCGUUGUCCGGAUUGACUGGGCGUAAAGGGCACGCAGGCGGCGCCGCGCGUGGGGUGUGAAAGCGGGUGGCUUAACUGCCCAAGGUCAUCCCAUACGGCGGUGCUGGAGCCAUCCAGAGGUCGGUGGAAUUGCCGGUGUAGUGGUGAAAUGCGUAGAGAUCGGCAGGAACACCCAGGGGGAAACCAGCCGACUGGGGAUGCGCUGACGCUGAGGUGCGAGAGCGUGGGGAGCGAACCGGAUUAGAUACCCGGGUAGUCCACGCCGUAAACGAUGAUCACUCGGCCUUUGUGAGCGGUAUUUCCGCUCGUGGGGGCCUCAGCAAACGCGGUAAGUGAUCCGCCUGGGAACUACGAGCGCAAGCUUA